CAGAAGGUGCUUAUUGACAAGUGGAC
RNAcentral lists this non-coding RNA (26 nucleotides) under Homo sapiens (human). Lineage: Eukaryota; Metazoa; Chordata; Mammalia; Primates; Hominidae. The record is from RNAcentral.